Molecule: small nucleolar RNA, 92 nt
Organism: Camellia sinensis
Lineage: Eukaryota; Viridiplantae; Streptophyta; Magnoliopsida; Ericales; Theaceae
Product: small nucleolar RNA U61
Source: RefSeq, a predicted model, not a curated record
UUGCUGUGAUGAUUCGAUUUCGUGUACCAGAGACAGAUCUAUCAAGAUUUUGUCUGUGACGGCAACACAACCCUCUAAGAAGUUCUGAGCAU